UUAAAUUGAAGAGUUUGAUCAUGGCUCAGAUUGAACGCUGGCGGCAGGCCUAACACAUGCAAGUCGAACGGUAACAGGAAGCAGCUUGCUGYUUUGCUGACGAGUGGCGGACGGGUGAGUAAUGUCUGGGAAACUGCCUGAUGGAGGGGGAUAACUACUGGAAACGGUAGCUAAUACCGCAUAACGUCGCAAGACCAAAGAGGGGGACCUUAGGGCCUCUUGCCAUCGGAUGUGCCCAGAUGGGAUUAGCUAGUAGGUGGGGUAACGGCUCACCUAGGCGACGAUCCCUAGCUGGUCUGAGAGGAUGACCAGCCACACUGGAACUGAGACACGGUCCAGACUCCUACGGGAGGCAGCAGUGGGGAAUAUUGCACAAUGGGCGCAAGCCUGAUGCAGCCAUGCCGCGUGUAUGAAGAAGGCCUUCGGGUUGUAAAGUACUUUCAGCGGGGAGGAAGGGAGUAAAGUUAAUACCUUUGCUCAUUGACGUUAC
This 490-nucleotide ribosomal RNA is filed under the name Escherichia coli. RNAcentral describes it as "bacterial SSU rRNA". It matches the Rfam family "Bacterial small subunit ribosomal RNA", at positions 1 to 478 of the family's 1533-position model. The record is from RNAcentral. Lineage: Bacteria; Pseudomonadati; Pseudomonadota; Gammaproteobacteria; Enterobacterales; Enterobacteriaceae.